Molecule: long non-coding RNA, 252 nt
Filed under: Mytilus galloprovincialis (Mediterranean mussel)
Lineage: Eukaryota; Metazoa; Mollusca; Bivalvia; Mytilida; Mytilidae
Source: RNAcentral
GGUUGUCCCGCGUAACAUAUUUCAGUUAUUGUAACCACUAAACUAUGAUUUUCGUCAAAACUAUUUAAUAUUUUGAAAAACGUGUUUUUCCAUUAUUAAACAGAAUAGUUCCUCCAGUCCUUUAUGCAUUUUUAUGACGUUAUGAUGACGUCAUAGAAAAAAAACGCGUUCAAUACUAAAAGGGCAAAUCUGUCCCGCGGGAAAAAAAAUUGGGAUUCCAGAUUUGAGAAUCAAAAAAUAUUUAUCUAAAAU